GGUUAAGCGACUAAGCGUACACGGUGGAUGCCCUGGCAGUCAGAGGCGAUGAAGGGCGUGCUAAUCUGCGAUAAGCGCCGGUAAGGUGAUAUGAACCGUUAUAACCGGCGAUACCCGAAUGGGGAAACCCAGUGUGAUUCGUCACACUAUCAUUAACUGAAUCCAUAGGUUAAUGAGGCGAACCGGGGGAACUGAAACAUCUAAGUACCCCGAGGAAAAGAAAUCAACCGAGAUUCCCCCAGUAGCGGCGAGCGAACGGGGAGGAGCCCAGAGCCUGAAUCAGCAUGUGUGUUAGUGGAAGCGUCUGGAAAGGCGCGCGAUACAGGGUGACAGCCCCGUACACAAAAGCGCAUGUGCUGUGAGCUCGAUGAGUAGGGCGGGACACGUGGUAUCCUGUCUGAAUAUGGGGGGACCAUCCUCCAAGGCUAAAUACUCCUGACUGACCGAUAGUGAACCAGUACCGUGAGGGAAAGGCGAAAAGAACCCCGGCGAGGGGAGUGAAAAAGAACCUGAAACCGUGUACGUACAAGCAGUGGGAGCACAGGUUUACCUGUGUGACUGCGUACCUUUUGUAUAAUGGGUCAGCGACUUAUAUUCUGUAGCAAGGUUAACCGAAUAGGGGAGCCGGAGGGAAACCGAGUCUUAAUUGGGCGUUAAGUUGCAGGGUAUAGACCCGAAACCCGGUGAUCUAGCCAUGGGCAGGUUGAAGGUUGGGUAACACUAACUGGAGGACCGAACCGACUAAUGUUGAAAAAUUAGCGGAUGACCUGUGGCUGGGGGUGAAAGGCCAAUCAAACCGGGAGAUAGCUGGUUCUCCCCGAAAGCUAUUUAGGUAGCGCCUCGUGAAUUCAUCUCCGGGGGUAGAGCACUGUUUCGGCUAGGGGGCCAUCCCGGCUUACCAACCCGAUGCAAACUGCGAAUACCGGAGAAUGUUAUCACGGGAGACACACGGCGGGUGCUAACGUCCGUCGUGAAGAGGGAAACAACCCAGACCGCCAGCUAAGGUCCCAAAGUCAUGGUUAAGUGGGAAACGAUGUGGGAAGGCCCAGACAGCCAGGAUGUUGGCUUAGAAGCAGCCAUCAUUUAAAGAAAGCGUAAUAGCUCACUGGUCGAGUCGGCCUGCGCGGAAGAUGUAACGGGGCUAAACCAUGCACCGAAGCUGCGGCAGCGAACGUAUCACUUAAAGCGAUUCAGCGGGUUACGAUUGACGGAGCGAAGCGACGUCAAAGCGUAUACAAAGUCGAGUCGGUUUAAGGAUACGUUCGUUGGGUAGGGGAGCGUUCUGUAAGCCUGCGAAGGUGGCCUGUGAGGGUUGCUGGAGGUAUCAGAAGUGCGAAUGCUGACAUAAGUAACGAUAAAGCGGGUGAAAAGCCCGCUCGCCGGAAGACCAAGGGUUCCUGUCCAACGUUAAUCGGGGCAGGGUGAGUCGACCCCUAAGGCGAGGCCGAAAGGCGUAGUCGAUGGGAAACGGGUUAAUAUUCCCGUACUUGGUGUUACUGCGAAGGGGGGACGGAGAAGGCUAUGUUGGCCGGGCGACGGUUGUCCCGGUUUAAGCGUGUAGGUGUGUGUUCCAGGUAAAUCCGGUUCACUUUAACACUGAGGCGUGAUGACGAGGCACUACGGUGCUGAAGCAACAAAUGCCCUGCUUCCAGGAAAAGCCUCUAAGCAUCAGGUAACAUCAAAUCGUACCCCAAACCGACACAGGUGGUCAGGUAGAGAAUACCAAGGCGCUUGAGAGAACUCGGGUGAAGGAACUAGGCAAAAUGGUGCCGUAACUUCGGGAGAAGGCACGCUGACACGUAGGUGAAGUGAUUUACUCAUGGAGCUGAAGUCAGUCGAAGAUACCAGCUGGCUGCAACUGUUUAUUAAAAACACAGCACUGUGCAAACACGAAAGUGGACGUAUACGGUGUGACGCCUGCCCGGUGCCGGAAGGUUAAUUGAUGGGGUCAGCGCAAGCGAAGCUCCUGAUCGAAGCCCCGGUAAACGGCGGCCGUAACUAUAACGGUCCUAAGGUAGCGAAAUUCCUUGUCGGGUAAGUUCCGACCUGCACGAAUGGCGUAAUGAUGGCCAGGCUGUCUCCACCCGAGACUCAGUGAAAUUGAACUCGCUGUGAAGAUGCAGUGUACCCGCGGCAAGACGGAAAGACCCCGUGAACCUUUACUAUAGCUUGACACUGAACAUUGAGCCUUGAUGUGUAGGAUAGGUGGGAGGCUUUGAAGCGUGGACGCCAGUCUGCGUGGAGCCGACCUUGAAAUACCACCCUUUAAUGUUUGAUGUUCUAACGUGGACCCGUAAUCCGGGUUGCGGACAGUGUCUGGUGGGUAGUUUGACUGGGGCGGUCUCCUCCUAAAGAGUAACGGAGGAGCACGAAGGUUGGCUAAUCCUGGUCGGACAUCAGGAGGUUAGUGCAAUGGCAUAAGCCAGCUUGACUGCGAGCGUGACGGCGCGAGCAGGUGCGAAAGCAGGUCAUAGUGAUCCGGUGGUUCUGAAUGGAAGGGCCAUCGCUCAACGGAUAAAAGGUACUCCGGGGAUAACAGGCUGAUACCGCCCAAGAGUUCAUAUCGACGGCGGUGUUUGGCACCUCGAUGUCGGCUCAUCACAUCCUGGGGCUGAAGUAGGUCCCAAGGGUAUGGCUGUUCGCCAUUUAAAGUGGUACGCGAGCUGGGUUUAGAACGUCGUGAGACAGUUCGGUCCCUAUCUGCCGUGGGCGCUGGAGAACUGAGGGGGGCUGCUCCUAGUACGAGAGGACCGGAGUGGACGCAUCACUGGUGUUCGGGUUGUCAUGCCAAUGGCACUGCCCGGUAGCUAAAUGCGGAAGAGAUAAGUGCUGAAAGCAUCUAAGCACGAAACUUGCCCCGAGAUGAGUUCUCCCUGAGACUUAGAGUCUCCUGAAGGAACGUUGAAGACGACGACGUUGAUAGGCCGGGUGUGUAAGCGCAGCGAUGCGUUGAGCUAACCGGUACUAAUGAACCGUGAGGCUUAACCUU
RNAcentral lists this ribosomal RNA (2989 nucleotides) under Salmonella enterica subsp. enterica serovar Anatum. RNAcentral describes it as "23S ribosomal RNA". It matches the Rfam family "Bacterial large subunit ribosomal RNA". RNAcentral also lists the same sequence under 1 other name. The record is from RNAcentral. Lineage: Bacteria; Pseudomonadati; Pseudomonadota; Gammaproteobacteria; Enterobacterales; Enterobacteriaceae.